CAAAAUUUGUUGGCGUCUUGAAGAAUGAAUUCUGUUGGUGGUGGUAGGUUCCCACCUACCCUGAACCUCCUUGGACAUCUGGGAUUUUGCCUAGUGUGAAGGGCUUUUGUUUUUAAGAUUAAGGCUGAACAGGUUUGAAAGAAUUUAUGAGUUGGACUCUUAAGCAGGUGGAGAUGCCUUCACCUGUGCACUGUGAGCAGAGGGUGCCCAAAUGCCAGCUUGCCACACGGGAAUAGUGCCCCAGGGCCUGGAAGUCCACCAGCAGCUGUGAGACUUCACAGGCAGCUUAACAGGACUUUAGCCAAACAGUGAGCCAGGAGUGUGUCAACACUGUCACUGCUGAGAACACUGCUGAAAACCACAACGGCCAAGGCUCAUUUUACCCAGUGGUCCCUCCGCGUACCGAGCUCUCUCUGGCCACUGCUCCACAAGGAGGCUGCCGCUGACCUGGGCUUCUGCAUUCAUCAGAGGUGAUGGGGGCGGGGGCUCGGGAAGGUGAACUGAACUCAUUCGUUGAGCCAGUGUUACCAUAUGUGCUCUGAAUUCUGAUUUCAAAGAGGAGAGACAUGUUCUCCAGGAGGCACCCUGUCCUUGCAGACCUGCAGAUCCCCCCACCAUCCACCUCACAGUUAUGGCGAGAAUUUCCUCCACGGGCAAUCAAAGACCGUUUUGGACGAUCUUUAGGCAGGACAUGCCUUCAUUUGGGAUCACACACAUGCGUAUGUCAUGCAUCUUGUAAAGCCCUCGUCUGAGAAGAAGACAGAGGAGGGCAGUAGAACUGAGAGAGGGAAAGGACACACGGGUCCUUAUGAUGGGGACCAGCCAGGGCUGAGACCACCCCUCACCCUGGACCCCUCAGACCCAUCAGCUAACACAUUUUGGUUUUUUUUGAUUUGUGAAUAUUUUAAUCAAAAAAGUUGAUUUUAUCAUAUGAAAUGAAAACUGGGAGAAAGAGAUCAAAAUUCAGCUCUCUGUGUCCGUGGGUUUACAGAUUCAACCAACUGCAAGCCCAAAAUGUUUUAAAAAAUUCAUCUACACUGAACAUGUACAUAAUAGUCAUGAUUUCCUAAACAAUGAAUUGUAAUGACUAUGUAUAUGAUAUUUAUAUUAUAUACAAUUAUGAAUAAUCUAGAGAUGAUUUCACACACACUAAUUUAGGUGUGUAGGUUGGGUGUAGAUACGGUGCCAUUCACACAAGAGACUUGAGCACCUGUGGAUUUUGCUAUGGGAGGGGAGCGGAAACCCCCAAUACCAAGGCGUGACUAAGACAAGUUUACACUUAUUUUCAUGUUCUAUUUUUUCUGUAUUUUUAGAAGUAUUUUAUUAAUUUUUAAAAAUUUUAUGAUAAGAAAAGAAUUGCAAAUUUUUAAAGGUCGUAUUAUGGAAACUUUCUUGGCCACAUACCAUUCCUUAAGACAGCUGGGACUAUAGAAUAAGAAUUUAAGACUUCUCCAUGUCCAGGCUACAAAAUUUCAAUAUGGCCCUGCUAUCAACUGAAAGGGUCUUCCCAGAUGCGUGCUGAAACCUAACCCCUAACAUGAGAGUAUUGGGGGCACGUUGGUCAUGAGGGAAGGGCCCUCAGAGAUGAGAUUCAUGCCCUUAUGAAAGGGGUCCCAGAGGAUUCUCAUCCUUCUACCACCCUUCUACCACGAGAGGACAUGGCAAGACAGUGGCCACCAGUCCAGUUCCCCAUUAGGAAUGCCUAUCAGAUACCAGAGCUUCCCAGCCUGCAGACCUAUAGAGAAAUCAAUGUCUAUUUUUCAUAAACUGCUCAGUCUAAAGCAUUUUUUUAGAGAAUCCCUGACUAAGCCAGAUACCGUUUCCUUCCUGACCCAAUUUAGAGAUCUGAGCUCCGACACUUCCAUUCCUAGCCCCCCGACCCUCCUCACAUACCCAUGUCUGCACCACACUUCCUACUUCUAACCGCUGCUUGGCAUCUUGUAUCUGAGUCAUCGGGUGCCUGUACCUCUCAUUUACCUGGAGCUCCAGGGGAGACAUGUCCCUAGUUUGUCACUGCCUCCUAGCCCAGGCCUGAGCCACGGAGGCCUUUGGACCCUUGGAGACUGGCUCAAACCACCCAUUCUAACGUUCUCCCUGGCCUUCUCUCUCUGUGUCCCCCCGCCCCUUUCUCUUGCUGGGAAUUCAACCCUGGGCCUCAGGCCUGCCAGGAAAGCACUCUGUCACUGAGCUACAUC
This 2195-nucleotide long non-coding RNA is filed under the name Marmota monax (woodchuck). The record is from RNAcentral. Lineage: Eukaryota; Metazoa; Chordata; Mammalia; Rodentia; Sciuridae.